UCAAACCACAAUUUCUUCUCUCUCUUUCUAACUCACACACAUUCAAACAUGUUCAUCUUCUUCUCUCUCUUUCUCAAUCGCACGCAACAUCAUGGUUUCCAGAUAAUUUUCAUAUUCUUCUCACUCAUACAUAACACCAUGGCGAAGAGUUCAUCUUCUUCUCAAGCAAAGAGUUCAUCUUCUUCUUAUAUUUUCUUUUAUCUAUGUGAUUUUUGUGUUGAUGCUAACUUUUUUUUUCUUUAAAUGCUUGAAAUGAAGAGAUUGAAGACAUGCAAGAGUCUUAAAGAAACAUCAGACAUUUUCUGGGUUCUUUCUUUGUUCUUGAUGAUUUUUGAGUUUUUUCUCUGAGAUCUACUUAUUUUGGUUGGGUGAAUGUUUUCAGAUCUACUUUUCUCUGUUGACCAAAUGUGUUGGAUCGAGGUUUUUGUCUCAGAUCUACUGUUGUAUGGAUUUGUUCUUCUCAAAUCUACUUUUGUUUUGGUUGAUUUUUUCCUCUGAUAUUCUUGAGCACAUUCACGAGACUUAAAAAAAGGUAACCACUUUUCAUUUUAUUGUUCUUCUACCAGUUCUCAGAUCUACUUUUCUUUUAAUACGAGAUGUGUUAGAUUUAGGUUUUUCUCUAAGAUCUACUUCUCUUUUGAAUGGUUUCUUUGCUCUCAGAUUUUCUUUUCCAUGUAUAUUGUUCGAUGGAUUUUUUCUUCUCAGAUCUACCUUUAUUUUGGUUGAUGUUUUGCUCUGAGAACCUUGAGCAAGUUGACGAAUACAAAAAAGUAACAAGAAUUCUGUUUUUUUUUUUGUUCUUCUACCAUCUUUGACUUUUUCUCUCAGAUCUAUUUCUCUUUUGAAUGGUUUCUUUGCUCUCAGAUUUUCUUUUCCAUGUAUAUUGUUCAAUGGAUUUUUUCUUCUCAGAUCUACCUUUAUUUUGGUUUAUGUUUUGCUUUGAGAACCUUGAGCAACAUGACGAAUACAAAAAAGGUAACAAAAAUUCUAUUUUUUUUCGUUCUUCUACCAUCUUCUCAGAUCUACUUUGUUUUCUAUUAUUUUUAUUUUUGUUUCUCAUCGAUAUUUUUCUCUAAGAUCUACUUAUUUUUGUUCGGUGAAUCAAAUAUUUGGAAAACACAAUAAAGGUUGAAUCUUUGAACCUUUCACUCUUUGACUACGACAAUAAAGGUACAAAAGUUUUAUACUGUGUGGAAUCCUUUCUUCUUCUGUAAGAUUUGAAUGAUUUUUUAUUUUAUAAACGGAUGAAUGUAUAUUUUUUGCGAGGUGGAUCAAAUCAAAUAUUUGAAGAACAUAGUAAAGGUUGAAUCUUUCAACCUUUCACUCUUUGACGAUGAAAAUAAAGAUUUAAGUACUUCUGCAUGUCUUUUUUUGUUGUGAUGAAUGAAGUUUUUAUUGGAGAUGGAUGACAUGUUUGAAGAAGAUAACAAAGAUCAAUGAAUUGCUCGAAGAAGACAAUAAAGGUACAAUUUUUUCGUCUUCCAUACAAAGGUAAGAUCUUUGAAGAACACCAGAAAGGUACAAGCUUUUUAUCUUUCAACUUCUGUCGAAUCUUUUCUUCUUCUACUAAAUAUAAUUCCCUUUUUUUUAGAUGAAUGAUUUGUUUGAAGAAUACAGGUUGGUUUUUUCGCAAUAAAAAAGACUUAGUGAGGUAUUUUCGCAGCAGUCGACUUUCAACUAUUGUGUUCCAUGGACCACUAGACCAAGUCCAAUGCAAUUUUGUGAUAACAACAACGUCUGUGAAGAUAGGUCACGACUAGAAAAAGUUUUGUGCCUUUGACUCACUAAAGGAGAAGGGUUAUGUUAUUUUCGAAGUUGAGAGUGAAAAAACAAGCAUGCAUGUAAAAGUUCUUUAUAAUCUACCAUUGUUUUAAUAUAUGUAGUUUACUAUCUUCUAAAAAA
Long non-coding RNA from Vigna unguiculata (cowpea), 1902 nucleotides. NCBI's taxonomy places the organism in Eukaryota, Viridiplantae, Streptophyta, Magnoliopsida, Fabales, Fabaceae. The record is from RefSeq and is a predicted model, not a curated record.